RNAcentral lists this ribosomal RNA (488 nucleotides) under uncultured bacterium. RNAcentral's name for it is "partial 16S ribosomal RNA". It matches the Rfam family "Bacterial small subunit ribosomal RNA", at positions 28 to 507 of the family's 1533-position model. The record is from RNAcentral.
GACGAACGCUGGCGGCGUGCUUAACACAUGCAAGUCGAACGGACAGGCCCUGCUUUUGUGGGGUGCUCGAGUGGCGAACGGGUGAGUAACACGUGAGUAACCUGCCCUUGAAUUUGGGAUAACUUCAGGAAACUGGGGCUAAUACCGGGUAGGAGAUCCUGCUGCGUGGGGGGGGUUGGAAAGUUUCGGCGGUUGUGGAUGGACUCGCGGCGUAUUAGCUUGUUGGUAAGGUAGUGGCUUACCAAGGCUUCGAUGCGUAGCCGACCUGAGAGGGUGAUCGGCCACACUGGAACUGAGACACGGUCCAGACUCCUACGGGAGGCAGCAGUAGGGAAUCUUCCGCAAUGGGCGAAAGCGUGACGGAGCAACGCCGCGUGAGUGAUGAAGGUCUUCGGAUCGUAAAACUCUGUUAUUAGGGAAGAACAAAUGUGUAAGUAACUAUGCACGUCUUGACGGUACCUAAUCAGAAAGCCACGGCUAACUACGUG